ACCUGUUUGGGGCACAUUCCUCUCUCUCUCUCCCUCCCUCCCUCUUCUUUCUAUCUCUCUGUUCUGCUCUGCUCUACACUUUCUCCCUCCUAGGGUUUCUGUUCGUCGGAGUAGUGGAAGCUGCAAUUACUUCCUCCCGGAGAAAAGCUGUCUUCUCGCUGCUCAAUGCUUGAUUCUGAGCCUUUCAGGUUCUCCUAAAUCAGCUGGGAAAAGAGGUGGAUUUGGCUCCUCUGAAGUUUUGAUCGGAUCUUAAGUGGGAAAAAUGUCAUCGAGAGGGAGGUCGGAUUAGCCUCCGCAGCCGUAGAGGCGGAUCUGGCGGACGCAAACCGCCGGGAACCUUGGGGAAUCCAUCUUCGACAAUGAGGUCGUUCCGUCGUUGCUUGUCGAGAUUGCGCCGAUUCUCUGUGUUGCCAAUGAGGUCGAAUCGAGCAACCCCAGGGUCUCAUCUGGGCCCUUUCAUUUUCCUUUUUCUUUAUCUUAAUAGUUUUGUUUCUCUGAGCUGAGCAUUUUUAGGUGAUUUUCUCAUCUGGGUACUUUUUUUUUGCUUUCUUCUCUUUAUGGGGUUUGGAUUCCGUGUUCUUGCUCUUGCCCAUAUGUUGUGGCAUUUAUUGGCAAUUUGAUGCGUUGUGAUCUUUGAUUGUUUUCUGGGAAAAAAAGGAUCUGGGGUUUGCUUGA
Long non-coding RNA from Morus notabilis, 675 nucleotides. RefSeq lists it as uncharacterized. Lineage: Eukaryota; Viridiplantae; Streptophyta; Magnoliopsida; Rosales; Moraceae. The transcript has 2 exons. The record is from RefSeq and is a predicted model, not a curated record.